This 255-nucleotide ribosomal RNA is filed under the name uncultured bacterium. RNAcentral's name for it is "partial 16S ribosomal RNA". It matches the Rfam family "Bacterial small subunit ribosomal RNA", at positions 524 to 777 of the family's 1533-position model. The record is from RNAcentral.
UACGGAGGGUGCGAGCGUUGUCCGGAAUCACUGGGCGUAAAGGGCGCGUAGGUGGCGUCGCAAGUCAACGGUGAAAGCUCGACGCUCAACGUCGAGUCGGCCGUCGAGACUGCGAGGCUUGAGCACUGUAGAGGCAGAUGGAAUUCCGGGUGUAGCGGUGGAAUGCGUAGAGAUCCGGAAGAACACCGGUGGCGAAGGCGGUCUGCUGGGCAGUUGCUGACACUGAGGCGCGACAGCGUGGGGGAGCAAACAGGG